Molecule: non-coding RNA, 69 nt
Organism: Phlebotomus papatasi
Lineage: Eukaryota; Metazoa; Arthropoda; Insecta; Diptera; Psychodidae
Source: the annotation of a RefSeq genome assembly
AAAGAAAUGGUGUUCAAGAAAAAGCUGCUAACUUUUUACUUUAAUGGUUAAACUCCAUUUAUUUCUUUA